AUACGUAGGGGGCAAGCGUUGUCCGGAAUUAUUGGGCGUAAAGGGUGCGUAGGCGGCAUUUUAAGUCAUUUGUGAAACUCUUCGGCUCAACCGAAGGCUUGCAGGUGAAACUAGGAUGCUUGAGUGCAGGAGAGGAGAACGGAAUUCCUGGUGUAGCGGUGAAAUGCGUAGAUAUCAGGAGGAACACCAGUGGCGAAGGCGGUUCUCUGGACUGUAACUGACGCUGAGGCACGAAAGCUGGGGUAGCGAACAGGAUUAGAUACCCUGGUAGUCCCAGCCGUAAACGAUGGAUACUAGGUGUAGGCAUCGAGGAAGAUGUCUGUGCCGCAGUUAACGCAUUAAGUAUCCCGCCUGGGGAGUACGGUCGCAAGGCUGAA
Molecule: ribosomal RNA, 377 nt
Filed under: uncultured bacterium
Lineage: Bacteria
Description: bacterial SSU rRNA
Rfam family: Bacterial small subunit ribosomal RNA
Source: RNAcentral